AUGGCCAACAAGCUGGUCUCGGACAUGUGCCUGCCUCCCCACCUCGCCCACCUCCUCGCCGCCCGCCGCCUCACCACGGCAAAGGACGUGCUCUCGCUGCCGGAGGUGGAGCUGAUGUCCCUGCUCGACGCGGGCCUCGCCACCGCCCGCGACGCCGUGUGCCGCGUCAGCGAGUUCGCCUGCCCUCCCUGCCAGACGGCGCUUGCGCUGCUGGAGGAGCGGGUGAGGCUGGGAGGCGGCGGCCGCCUGGCGACCACGCUCUGCGGGCUGGAUGAGGCGCUGGGCGGAGGUAUCCCCCUGGGCAAGCUCACCGAGGUCGUCGGGCCCUCGGGGAUCGGCAAGACGCAGUUUUGUCUGAAGCUUGCGCUGCUAGCAACGUUACCAGAAUGCUACGGGGGCCUAAACGGUCGAGUUGUGUAUAUUGACACCGAAUCCAAGUUCUCUUCACGGAGGAUGAUCGAGAUAGGUCAGAAAAGCUUUCCUCAAAUAUUUAGGCAAGAAGGCUUAGCACAAAAGAUGGCUGGCAGGAUCCUAGUGAUGCGACCAUCAUCAUUAUCUGAUUUCACAAAGAGUUUGGAACAGAUGAAGGUGACUCUCCUCCAAAAUGAUGUGAAGUUACUCAUUGUUGAUAGUGUGGCUGCUUUCAUGUCAUCGGAGAACGAAAGAGGUACAACAGGUUUCACACAACACCCUCUAAGAUGGGCUCUUUCAUUUCUUAAGUCUAUAGCAGAGUUGACAAGAAUUCCAGUUGUAGUUUCAAACCAGGUCCGCAGCCAAAGUAAUGAUGAUGGUUAUCAUUACUCAUUUGAAGUAAAAAGGAUGGGUGAUGGCGAUGGUGCUGAAAGACUUGAAUCUCAUCUUGUUGCUGCUCUAGGAAUCCAGUGGGCUCAUGCUGUAACUAUCCGUCUAGUCUUCGAGUCUCACUCAGGUCAGAGGUUCAUCAAGGUGGCGAAAUCGCCCAUGUCUCCAGCAGUAGCAUUUCCUUUCAUCGUGGAAUCAUCAGGCAUUACAUUGCUAAAUGAUGAAGGCAUUGAUGUGUCAGGUCCUGAGAUAACCUCGAUUCGCUGUCAAGGGCAAAAUUUGUUGGGUCUGUUGCCAUUUGAAAACCGAGGGUGA
Molecule: ribosomal RNA, 1116 nt
Filed under: Triticum aestivum (bread wheat)
Lineage: Eukaryota; Viridiplantae; Streptophyta; Magnoliopsida; Poales; Poaceae
Description: partial small subunit ribosomal RNA
Source: RNAcentral